ACUCCUACGGGAGGCAGCAGUGGGGAAUAUUGCACAAUGGGCGCAAGCCUGAUGCAGCAACGCCGUGUGAGUGAAGAAGGUUUUCGGAUCGUAAAACUCUGUCCUAAGGGAAGAAACAAAUGACGGUACCUUAGGAGGAAGCCCCGGCUAACUACGUGCCAGCAGCCGCGGUAAUACGUAGGGGGCAAGCGUUAUCCGGAAUCACUGGGGCGUAAAGGGUGCGUAGGCGGCUUAGCAAGCCAGGGGUGAAAGGCAUUGGCUCAACCAAUGUAAGCCUUUGGAACUGUUAAGCUUGAGUGCAGGAGAGGUAAGUGGAAUUCCUAGUGUAGAGGUGAAAUUCGUAGAUAUUAGGAGGAACACCAGUGGCGAAGGCGACUUACUGGACUGUAACUGACGCUGAUGCACGAAAGCGUGGGUAGCGAACAGGAUUAGAUACCCUGGUAGCACAGAGC
RNAcentral lists this ribosomal RNA (452 nucleotides) under uncultured bacterium. RNAcentral describes it as "bacterial SSU rRNA". It matches the Rfam family "Bacterial small subunit ribosomal RNA", at positions 335 to 800 of the family's 1533-position model. The record is from RNAcentral.